CGCGGGGUGGAGCAGCCCGGUAGCUCGUCAGGCUCAUAACCUGAAGGUCGUCAGUUCAAAUCUGGCCCGCGCAACCA
Molecule: transfer RNA, 77 nt
Filed under: Allobosea sp.
Lineage: Bacteria; Pseudomonadati; Pseudomonadota; Alphaproteobacteria; Hyphomicrobiales; Alloboseaceae
Description: tRNA-Met
Rfam family: tRNA
About the family: Transfer RNA (tRNA) molecules are approximately 80 nucleotides in length. Their secondary structure includes four short double-helical elements and three loops (D, anti-codon, and T loops).
Source: RNAcentral